This 577-nucleotide long non-coding RNA is filed under the name Manacus vitellinus (golden-collared manakin). RNAcentral describes it as "lncRNA (ENSMVIG00005017450.1)". Lineage: Eukaryota; Metazoa; Chordata; Aves; Passeriformes; Pipridae. The record is from RNAcentral.
CCUCUGGUAAGAAACUCAUGGUUAAAACCUAUGCUCUUGCUUCAUAACAGAACAGACCUGUGACAUCUCAAAGCUGAAGUGUUUUUUUCACCAUUUCUGCUUGACUCUGCUAUAAUGUGAAGUGUGAUGAGAUGAGGAGGGCAGCUGUAACUGAUAAAGAAAGGUCUGCAGGAGGGUUUUGAAGAGUCUGGCACUGGGGAUAUCUGGCAAUCAGCUUACACAUUCAUUGGUUUGCAUAAGGGGAGGAGACAGGACUGCACAGUGGCAGCAACUAUGCAAACAACUCAUUUCACUCUAGCUCCCCCAGAAUCUGGUCCCACAUCCUCUGCAGCUGCAGAAGAAUUCAAACAGGCUUUUUUUUUUUUUUUUUUUUUUUUUUUUUUUUUUUUUAUUAAUGCCACCUGUCAUCUACAACAGCUGUAGAUAGAGUAACACACCUGUUUUGGAGCAGAUAAACUAAGUGUGCUUUUGAUUUGUGUCUGUCAUGACAGACAGUGUGUGAGAAAAGGAGUUGCAGUGAAGCUACAAGAGUAAAAGCAGACAUCAGAAGUGUGAAGAUUGUGGUUACAGCACAGUG